UAUUAAAUAAAAUCACUCGUAUAAUCGUGGGAAUAUGGCCCACAAGUUUCUACCAGAUUACCGUAAAUAAUCUGACUAUGAGUGGGCA
This 88-nucleotide non-coding RNA is filed under the name Bacillus andreraoultii. Its description in RNAcentral is "Purine riboswitch". It matches the Rfam family "Purine riboswitch aptamer", at positions 5 to 92 of the family's 102-position model. From Rfam's summary of the family: Riboswitches are metabolite binding domains within certain messenger RNAs that serve as precision sensors for their corresponding targets. Allosteric rearrangement of mRNA structure is mediated by ligand binding, and this results in modulation of gene expression. Lineage: Bacteria; Bacillati; Bacillota; Bacilli; Caryophanales; Bacillaceae. The record is from RNAcentral.